Molecule: ribosomal RNA, 1416 nt
Filed under: Pediococcus sp.
Lineage: Bacteria; Bacillati; Bacillota; Bacilli; Lactobacillales; Lactobacillaceae
Description: bacterial SSU rRNA
Rfam family: Bacterial small subunit ribosomal RNA
Source: RNAcentral
CAGUCGACGACUUCCGUUAAUUGAUUAUGACGUACUUGUACUGAUUGAGAUUUUAACACGAAGUGAGUGGCGAACGGGUGAGUAACACGUGGGUAACCUGCCCAGAAGUAGGGGAUAACACCUGGAAACAGAUGCUAAUACCGUAUAACAGAGAAAACCGCAUGGUUUUCUUUUAAAAGAUGGCUCUGCUAUCACUUCUGGAUGGACCCGCGGCGUAUUAGCUAGUUGGUGAGGUAAAGGCUCACCAAGGCAGUGAUACGUAGCCGACCUGAGAGGGUAAUCGGCCACAUUGGGACUGAGACACGGCCCAGACUCCUACGGGAGGCAGCAGUAGGGAAUCUUCCACAAUGGACGCAAGUCUGAUGGAGCAACGCCGCGUGAGUGAAGAAGGGUUUCGGCUCGUAAAGCUCUGUUGUUAAAGAAGAACGUGGGUAAGAGUAACUGUUUACCCAGUGACGGUAUUUAACCAGAAAGCCACGGCUAACUACGUGCCAGCAGCCGCGGUAAUACGUAGGUGGCAAGCGUUAUCCGGAUUUAUUGGGCGUAAAGCGAGCGCAGGCGGUCUUUUAAGUCUAAUGUGAAAGCCUUCGGCUCAACCGAAGAAGUGCAUUGGAAACUGGGAGACUUGAGUGCAGAAGAGGACAGUGGAACUCCAUGUGUAGCGGUGAAAUGCGUAGAUAUAUGGAAGAACACCAGUGGCGAAGGCGGCUGUCUGGUCUGCAACUGACGCUGAGGCUCGAAAGCAUGGGUAGCGAACAGGAUUAGAUACCCUGGUAGUCCAUGCCGUAAACGAUGAUUACUAAGUGUUGGAGGGUUUCCGCCCUUCAGUGCUGCAGCUAACGCAUUAAGUAAUCCGCCUGGGGAGUACGACCGCAAGGUUGAAACUCAAAAGAAUUGACGGGGGCCCGCACAAGCGGUGGAGCAUGUGGUUUAAUUCGAAGCUACGCGAAGAACCUUACCAGGUCUUGACAUCUUCUGACAGUCUAAGAGAUUAGAGGUUCCCUUCGGGGACAGAAUGACAGGUGGUGCAUGGUUGUCGUCAGCUCGUGUCGUGAGAUGUUGGGUUAAGUCCCGCAACGAGCGCAACCCUUAUUACUAGUUGCCAGCAUUAAGUUGGGCACUCUAGUGAGACUGCCGGUGACAAACCGGAGGAAGGUGGGGACGACGUCAAAUCAUCAUGCCCCUUAUGACCUGGGCUACACACGUGCUACAAUGGAUGGUACAACGAGUCGCGAAACCGCGAGGUUAAGCUAAUCUCUUAAAACCAUUCUCAGUUCGGACUGUAGGCUGCAACUCGCCUACACGAAGUCGGAAUCGCUAGUAAUCGCGGAUCAGCAUGCCGCGGUGAAUACGUUCCCGGGCCUUGUACACACCGCCCGUCACACCAUGAGAGUUUGUAACACCCAAAGCCGGUGG